AGGGGCAUUUCCCAGUUCUCUCCAGGAGUAUGAAAUUUCCCUCUUGUUUCUGCCCACCUGAGGGGCUGCACUUGGACCCUGCCAUGGGAAGAGGUCUAUUCCUCUCUGCCUCCUGGGGGACCCCCUCCUUGUGUGAGUCCCCUCUGAAGCCCUGCAGAACCUGGUCUGGGUCCUGAACAGUCCUGCCGAGGCCUGGCCUGUUGGACACAGAUGCUCAAAAUCUACUCAGAGCAUGCUGGCCCCUGUGGAGUGGUUCCUGUUCCUGGGGUGCUGAAGUGAAUGAGGGUGUUUCUCUGAUCCGUAAGAGCCUCCUGCCCGUUCAUCCAUCAACAGCCUCUGGGGACACCUUCGGCAGCAGGAAUCACUGGUGUUGGGUUGGAUCUAUGAACACGAGACACAGAAACACCAGCUGGAGGAGCCCAGGAGGCCCAGCAGGUGAGGUUA
This 444-nucleotide long non-coding RNA is filed under the name Pan troglodytes (chimpanzee). Its description in RNAcentral is "long non-coding RNA NONPTRT009033". Lineage: Eukaryota; Metazoa; Chordata; Mammalia; Primates; Hominidae. The record is from RNAcentral.